UACGUAGGGUGCGAGCGUUGAUCGGAAUUACUGGGCGUAAAGCGUGCGUAGACGGUUAUGUAAGUCAUAUGUGAAAGCCCCGGGCUCAACCUGGGAAUUGCAUUUGAGACUGUGUAGCUAGGGUGCGGAAGAGGGAAGCGGAAUUUCCGGUGUAGCGGUGAAAUGCGUAGAUAUCGGAAGGAACACCAGUGGCGAAAGCGGCUUCCUGGUCCAGCACCGACGUUCAGGCACGAAAGCGUGGGGAGCAAACAGG
This 253-nucleotide ribosomal RNA is filed under the name uncultured bacterium. RNAcentral describes it as "partial 16S ribosomal RNA". It matches the Rfam family "Bacterial small subunit ribosomal RNA", at positions 524 to 776 of the family's 1533-position model. The record is from RNAcentral.